GAUGAACGCUGGCGGCGUGCCUAAUACAUGCAAGUCGAGCGAACAGACGAGGAGCUUGCUCCUCUGACGUUAGCGGCGGACGGGUGAGUAACACGUGGAUAACCUACCUAUAAGACUGGGAUAACUUCGGGAAACCGGAGCUAAUACCGGAUAAUAUAUUGAACCGCAUGGUUCAAUAGUGAAAGACGGUUUUGCUGUCACUUAUAGAUGGAUCCGCGCCGCAUUAGCUAGUUGGUAAGGUAACGGCUUACCAAGGCAACGAUGCGUAGCCGACCUGAGAGGGUGAUCGGCCACACUGGAACUGAGACACGGUCCAGACUCCUACGGGAGGCAGCAGUAGGGAAUCUUCCGCAGUGGGCGAAAGCCUGACGGAGCAACGCCGCGUGAGUGAUGAAGGUCUGCGGAUCGUAAAACUCUGUUAUUAGGGAAGAACAAAUGUGUAAGUAACUAUGCACGUCUUGACGGUACCUAAUCAGAAAGCCACGGCUAACACGUG
RNAcentral lists this ribosomal RNA (496 nucleotides) under uncultured bacterium. RNAcentral's name for it is "partial 16S ribosomal RNA". It matches the Rfam family "Bacterial small subunit ribosomal RNA", at positions 28 to 507 of the family's 1533-position model. The record is from RNAcentral.